Girardinichthys multiradiatus is the source of this 4083-nucleotide long non-coding RNA. RefSeq lists it as uncharacterized. The transcript is spliced from 2 exons. Lineage: Eukaryota; Metazoa; Chordata; Actinopteri; Cyprinodontiformes; Goodeidae. The record is from RefSeq and is a predicted model, not a curated record.
UUAGCUUUGAUUGACACGCGUUCCGUCCAAUCUUCGCACUUUUCCUUUUGCUCGUACUAGCGGAGCAAAAUGGCGUAGGAGCGGAGGGUGAAAGGAGGAGAGCACCUUCUUCUCUCCCCUUCACCGUGUCCAGAAGAGGAGAGAAGGGGGUCCGCAACUUUUAAGUUUUGCUUUAAAUUCGCGGGUCUUCUUAUGAAAAUAACCCCAACGAUCCUCCAGGUGAAGAGGACUCUUAAUAUGUUACCGCAUAGGAAGGAUCCCCCCGGCUUUUGUUUACCAUUGUGUGCAGCUGCAGCAUAGAGACACAGAACAUAUCUCUACAUCAUUUCACACUGAGGUAGAGAAAGAGAUGGAGCCAGCUGAACCCAUGAAAACCCGGGAGAAGACUCAGAACCGCCAACAUAACUCCUCCACCUCUGCCGAGCCAGAGAGAACUGCAGCUAAGAUAACCUCUUUUGGGGUCCUCUCACUUCUCUCUUGCCUGCCUUUCCUGCUGUUCUCUGGGACCCUGGAUAUGUCUCUUCCACAGCAUCCCUUGUCCUGACCUCUUUCUGCAGCCUGAUCAUCAGUGAGUCGUCCAACUUCGGAGAUGAACAAGCCUCGUCUAACACCAGCUCUGCUGCUGCUGCUUCAUUUGCUUAAAGAAAUGGGUGAAAUCUGAGGGAUAUGUAUGUGUUGUAAACAGAGUUGCUUUUUCCAUUCCAAAAAACAAACAAAGAAAUCACACAAGAGGUUUGAUAAUGAGCAAACAAUGUGCUCUCCUUUUUUCUGAAGUAAAGACACAACAUACUGUAGCAAGAAUCAAACGCCUGUGACACAAAUUAAGAUCCUUGAUUCAUUCUUUUUUUAACUACCUCACUGCCACAGCAAGUCCGACAUGAUCAAAAGGAGCGUUUCGGAACAAGGAGUGCUGCAGCAGUCCGUUUAUCUGUCCAAAACACCUUUUAGUAUUGAAGUCAGGUAGUUGACAGGUAAACAGAAGAUAUGCAUGCUGUUGCUUAUGUGUAGCAUUUCUUUAGUUUAUUUUAGGAGGAUCAAGACACGGAUUCAUGCAACCUCUUGUCUAGGCAUGAGCUGGUAUAUUCUAUUUGAAGGAAAACGUACAUUAAAAACAUCAUGAUGUCAGUAUUUACAGAAAGACUUGGAACCAAAUUGGGUGUUGUGAUCUCGUUGAUUUCAUUUAUGAGAGCAUCAACCAGAAAUAUUUUGGUUACUGGUAAUUUAUGGCUAGAUUAACAGCUGAAUUUGCUCCUGAUAAGCAUGGAAAAAGUUAGUUUUUUUCCUGCCAGAUUGUAUGUGCAGUCAUGUGGGGAAGGGACAUGUCUGUUGCUCCACACAGCUGAAUUAAUCUCUGUUUAGGCCUGUUUCUCUGGCAUCAUGUUAAAAGGCUUUUAAACUUUUAUACCUUGACACAGAUAUCCGGCUCAUGCCUAUUCUUGUCUGCGUUGCCUCAAGUCUACACUUCAGACGUCUUGUCCUUUUGUUUGUCGAAUCUCUAAGCAGAGAUAAAUUUGGCAGCGUUACUCAUUUGGGUCGGUCCUUGUGAGUGAAGUGGGACGAGUUGUGGUGAUCACAUUUUUUCUGCAUCCACGCUGUGGUCCAGUUUUAGCUCCUCACUGUGUCCUCACAUGACAUGCUUUGAUCCAACAUCCAACAAAGACACAAAGUCCUGCAGCUCAUAAUCGGUUUGCUAUUUUGAUUUCUUUUUUUGUGUGCCAUUCAUGUGUAUAGAAAGAGCAACGACAACAGAAUUACACUUUACCGGGAUCUGUGCAAUAUUUGAUCUUAACUGUCAUGUUGUUGACCAAACUGUAUAUUGUAUAAACAAGUGACAAGUUGUUUGAAAGCAACAAAAUCACCAAUGUCUUCCAUUAAGAUAUGUAUAGACCCAUGUGUUAGCUUAUUUAGCGGGGCUGUGGUGCCAACAUUAUUGUAGCCAUGCAUGACCAGUAGUAAUGCUUGCUCCAUCAAGAGUAUUGAUUUGUAGGCCGAGCCGAAGCUCAAAUCUGUGGAGACCAUUUCAGUAAAACUAGGGAGUAUUAGACUCACAUGAUAUGUCAAAUUUAGAUCCUGCUUUAACCUAAAAUGUAGUGCUUAAUCUCUAUUUUAAAGCAUGUAUAUGUUUGGUAAGAAAUAUAGUAUGACUCAAUUGGGGUACACUGUUACAAAGUUGAGUUUUCAGGUCUGUUAGCACAUUCUCAUAAAUAGAGGUGCACCGAUCAUGAUAAUGUGGCUUUUGUAUGGCUUGGACCUGCCAAUAUCGAUUUUUGCUCUAUUAUGAGUUCUCUUAAAUUGUAGUGUUAAAAAAAAAUUGGAAAAACAUUCAAACAUUGUUUUUCUAGCCUUCCUGUCGUGAUUGGAAAUCAGGCCAAUAUUGUAUUUGUCAGAGAGGAGUCACUGUAAAAUAGGGUAUCCUGUUAUUUUAAAACGUCAAAAUCCUGAUAGAGUAGAAAUUUAAAGCAGUCUUAUUUUAAUAAUUACCGCAGUUAGCAUAGCUAGCAUCACAAAAACAUCUGUAAUCAUAUUCUUACUUCAGCUGAUGAGGUUUCAGACAGAAGUUUAAAGCUCAAAGGGAUAAAACAGCAGCCUUGCUUUACUCCAUUUAUCCUUCUUGUUAUCUGCUUAAGUCUGUGUCUCUCUCGCUGGUUUGCAGGCUGAAUGAACCACUGACACUUAACAGGAAACAGUUUCCUUUUUAAUAGGUUCAUCUUCCUUAUUGAGACUGAAACACAUGGCCGUCAGUCUGUCCACACUGAAGAGUGCUGUAGUCAGUGUGACCUAGUAAUGCUAACAUAUGGUGUGUUCACUGAUUGGAAAGAAAUUGGAUUUUCCAAAAGCGGAUAACUUGGUGCAACUCAACACGUUUUUUUUUUUAAAUUACAUUGUUUUCUGUCAUGUUUCAACAGAAUUAGUUAAAAUGCAAGAGCCAAAAAUCUCUAUUAAAACCGGGUCUCAGAUGGGAAAAUCUUUGCAGAAAUUAUUCAUAAGUAGGGAACUUGUAUCUUAAAUUAGGACCUGAUAGGCUGGGACCUGGCAUGUUGUAGUCCUUAUCAUGAAAUUGUAUAUAUGACCUCAUAGUUUUGGGAUUCAGCGCAUUCUAUUUUAAUCCACACAAUUGUAUUUAAUUAGUAUUUUAGAAGCAAUAACCUAAAAUAAUGCAUGAAUUUAGCUCGAGGAGUUAGUAUGAAAAGGACUGUGUAACAUUUCAUGGAAAAUUCCCCUUCCUUUUUCAUUGCCUUUGUACUAGCUAUGUGUUAGCGAUCUAUUUUCUUUUUUGCUUCAUUGUGUUUUAAUACACUAUCUUAAUCAACAAGAACACAAGAAAGGCUUUAAAUCUGAUUUCCUGUAGCAUCCAUAAAGAGCCUUUCCUUUCUUGAAAGUUGCAGACUUUAAGAAUAAACAGCAGCAAAGAACUAACUGAAUGACACUUACGUGAAAAGCACUUUCUAUGUACCAACUUGCACCAUCAUUGUCAACACCAUGUCUUGAAUACUGUGUUCAAGCAACCCUGUAAUGUUCUUUCUGGUGAUUUAUAAUCCCAAUGUAUGAGCAAGUAGAUGUCCAGGUGAUAUGAAUUUGUGGGUUUAAAAAAAAAUAUGCAUGACUUAGCAGAAUAACGAAUGAAAUGUAUUGCAUGCAAUAACCUAACCUCGUAAUGUGAAUGAGUGUGAGUAUGUUCCAAUCCAAACAUGGGGAUGGUUGACACAAAAGCAGCUGCACCGAAGUCGCUCUGCCGGUUACAGUUUUACAAAAUAGCCGCUGUACAUAACAGAAAAAGCCCUAAAAGAAGGAAAUGAUCAGUUUCUAUUUUUCCUGUUGUGUCCCAUGCAAUCUGGCAGUAUAACUACAGUGCAGCUUAAUUCUUGUUCCCAUGAGGAAAACCUAAAAGCCUUGGUAAGAUUACUGAAAUUACUUUGUUGUUCAACUUUUCCACUGAGAUGGUGGACUGUAUAGGAACUAUGCACUCCAGAGGGAGGAAACGGGCAUGCCUAUUAUGUAUCAGCCUCUUGUCUGGUUUUGUAAUAAAUAAAAAUGAAUCUGUAUCAGAAAAAUUCAGCAAUAAACAGCAUGGUGCCAAUCGUA